UCUCUGGCAUCUUGAACUUUGGACCCUUGAGUUUUGCAUCUGGACCUUCGAUACUGACAUCAGGGGCAUCAAUGUCCACUUUGGGGCCAGAAAUCUCAAUGUCAGCCUUGGGCAGGUUCACAUCCACAUCUGGGCCCUCUCCUUUGAAGCCAGGCAUGCUGAACUUGGGCAUUUUCACCUUGGGCAUCUUCAGGUGCCAGUCUGGGCCUUGAACAUCCACAUCUGGGGCAUUAAUAUCCACUUUGGGGCCUUUAAUAUCCACGUCAGGAACUUUCAUGUCACCUUCCAC
Molecule: long non-coding RNA, 289 nt
Filed under: Homo sapiens (human)
Lineage: Eukaryota; Metazoa; Chordata; Mammalia; Primates; Hominidae
Description: HSALNT0176116
Source: RNAcentral